RNAcentral lists this ribosomal RNA (274 nucleotides) under uncultured bacterium. RNAcentral's name for it is "partial 16S ribosomal RNA". It matches the Rfam family "Bacterial small subunit ribosomal RNA", at positions 523 to 796 of the family's 1533-position model. The record is from RNAcentral.
AUACGGGGGGUGCGAGCGUUAUUCGGAAUUACUGGGCGUAAAGAGCGCGUAGGCGGUCUUUUAAGUCAGGUGUGAAAGCCCGGGGCUCAACCCCGGAAGUGCACUUGAAACUAAGAGACUAGAGUAUGGGAGAGGGAAGUGGAAUUCCUGGUGUAGCGGUGAAAUGCGUAGAUAUCAGGAGGAACAUCAGUGGCGAAGGCGACUUCCUGGACCAAUACUGACGCUGAGGCGCGAAGGCGUGGGGAGCAAACAGGAUUAGAAACCCUAGUAGUCC